Molecule: unclassified non-coding RNA, 279 nt
Filed under: Hevea brasiliensis (rubber tree)
Lineage: Eukaryota; Viridiplantae; Streptophyta; Magnoliopsida; Malpighiales; Euphorbiaceae
Source: RNAcentral
UUUUUUUAUUUUAUUUUAUUUUUGGGAAAUUUCCUCCCAUUUCAAGUUAAACCGACCCUCUCCUUGGAAAAGCAAUGCUGAUGGUCCAUAUGAAGAUUGACAAGAAAGGGCAUCAUAGAUGGAAUUUUCCUCUCAUUGUUCUUUUCUUUCUUUACCAGGACUAACUUAAUUUCUAGGGGUAUCAGGGGGUAUUUGGUACAAGAUGAGUAAAAGGCAAUUAUAAGAAUGAUAUUUUGUAACUUUUAUUCCUUUAUUAAUUUUACUAGCGGAAUAUCACGG